GCAUAUCAAUAAGCGGAGGAAAAGAAACCAACAGGGAUUGCCCCAGUAGCGGCGAGUGAAGCGGCAAAAGCUCAGAUUUGGAAUCGCUUCGGCGAGUUGUGAAUUGCAGGUUGGCGCCUCUGCGGCGGCGGCGGUCCAAGUCCCUUGGAACAGGGCGCCAUUGAGGGUGAGAGCCCCGUGGGACCGUUUGCCUACGCUCUGAGGCCCUUCUGACGAGUCGAGUUGUUUGGGAAUGCAGCUCUAAGCGGGUGGUAAAUUCCAUCUAAGGCUAAAUACUGGCGAGAGACCGAUAGCGAACAAGUACUGUGAAGGAAAGAUGAAAAGCACUUUGAAAAGAGAGUGAAACAGCACGUGAAAUUGUUGAAAGGGAAGGGUAUUGCGCCCGACAUGGAGCGUGCGCACCGCUGCCCCUCGUGGGCGGCGCUCUGGGCGUGCUCUGGGCCAGCAUCGGUUUUUGCCGCGGGAGAAGGGCGGCGGGCAUGUAGCUCUUCGGAGUGUUAUAGCCUGCCGCCGGCGCCGCGAGCGGGGACCGAGGACUGCGACU
RNAcentral lists this ribosomal RNA (544 nucleotides) under Pichia fermentans. RNAcentral describes it as "partial large subunit ribosomal RNA". It matches the Rfam family "Eukaryotic large subunit ribosomal RNA", at positions 38 to 602 of the family's 3401-position model. The record is from RNAcentral. Lineage: Eukaryota; Fungi; Ascomycota; Pichiomycetes; Pichiales; Pichiaceae.